This 253-nucleotide ribosomal RNA is filed under the name uncultured bacterium. RNAcentral's name for it is "partial 16S ribosomal RNA". It matches the Rfam family "Bacterial small subunit ribosomal RNA", at positions 524 to 776 of the family's 1533-position model. The record is from RNAcentral.
UACGUAGGGGGCAAGCGUUGUCCGGAAUCAUUGGGCGUAAAGCGCGUGUAGGCGGUUCGAUAAGUCUGCUGUGAAAGUCCAGGGCUCAACCCUGGAAAGCCGGUGGAUACUGUCGGACUAGAGUGCGGAAGAGGCGAGUGGAAUUCCCGGUGUAGCGGUGAAAUGGGUAGAUAUCAGGAGGAACACCCGUGGCGAAGGCGGCUCACUGGGCAUCUCCUGACGCUGAGGCGCGAAAGCGUGGGGAGCAAACAGG